RNAcentral lists this long non-coding RNA (2309 nucleotides) under Salmo salar (Atlantic salmon). Its description in RNAcentral is "lncRNA (ENSSSAG00000117972.1)". The record is from RNAcentral. Lineage: Eukaryota; Metazoa; Chordata; Actinopteri; Salmoniformes; Salmonidae.
GGCUGAGUAUUCACAAUCUGGUUUGUUCUGUAUUAAAUCAAUUCAAAAGCAGGAUAAACCGGUGACAUCCGACAUACAAAUCACUGUUUGGAUGAGAAGUACGACAAGGUGAGCUACUGAGAGGGCUUCUACCGUUCCAUUCAACUGCAGAGUAGUGAUUAUCUGCAGGAUGGCACACGAGGACAUAGUCAUCGUGCUCACAGUUCCUCUGUGUGUGUGGGGGGGGAGCUUGGUAGAGAGCUGGUUGGAGCUUGGUAGAGAGGAAUAAGAAGAUUUAACAGCCUCGGGUGAGCCAUAUGUAUGGGUCUUCCAUGGGGCUCCAAAGAGACACGUCCAUGUAUUCAUCACAGUGAAUGAUCGACAUCACUAAGGCUCUCCUUUGCUGGUGAACAGCUAUGUGGAAGCAUCAUCAUGUAGCCCUGGGGCCCCACCUGGUCUGAGGAGAACAUGGUAGCACUAGGUGUUUGAGGAGGGGUGGGAGUCACAUUGACUUCUGAAGGGAUAUAAUCUGCAUCAUGAGGCCCUGGGCCAGGAGUCAUUGGCAUAUAACUGCCCGCCACUGAGGGUGUAUGUGUACUCUGGUGAUAGACAUGAAGGAAAGGGGGCUUGGAUGAGGUAUUUUUCACAUUUUGAAGCGCAUGAAGUGAUUUGGUGGUAUUGUCUGGAAUGUUCAGGGGUAGACUUUUUCCACACCGAAGAUCUCGCCAUUACCUUCAGAUCCAUGGCCACGUAGUCAGUCCGGCUGUUCUCUUCAAUGAGUGGGAGUCAGAGGUGUUACUGCUGGAGAACUGAAAGGCUGGGAGCCCAAAUCCUCAGCCCAGACAGAGCCUCUAUCAUUGGGAGAACCACAGACGGAGGGGCCAGAGGUGUGUAUCAGAGACAUUGCCACCGCUGCCGGAUACACUGGCGGGAAUGGUGGUGGAGAUGCAGGCACCGUGACUGAGGCUCUCUUCAAGGAUUUUAUUGAUGCAGACAUUACAGAGAGCCAAGGUGCCAGUCGCAGGGCUGAUCAGUUGUUAACCUGUCCCCUCUCCUUGGCUACAGGUUUGGUUAGGGCGGUGGCCUUCAUCUCUUUCACUUUUCUGUGGGGACAGUUUGCUUACAACAGUUUCAGUCCCUGAGGACCGCUGGAGCCCAGUCCGUCUGGGUGGCAGGUUGACAUGUUGAUGACGUCACGUGGUGACUACAGCGCAGGGGUUUGAUGGGAAUGAUUGACUCUUGCUCCGCGGCCUGAAAUCAGGGAUGGCCGCCAGCGCUCUCACGGCCACCAGGAUUGUCUUGUGCAUGUUCUGAGCCACUACAGGGUCACCUGAGUCUACCUGCAUCCAGAUCUCCGCGGGCCCAGUAGAGGAUCGAGCGACCCACCUCAAUAAAGAAGAAGCACUCGGGAGUGACCACAGCGAAAGACAUUCAUCAUAGGCAGGUUGACAGACAGCAUCUCUUGGCAGAGAGACACAGCCCCGUUAGGUUCUUGGUUUGAAGAUGGUGCCAGGAGAGAUUGUCCAGCAUCCAUAAUUCAACUCCUCAGUGUCCUGGUGCUGAUUUUUCUCCUAGAUACUCAGGUCAUUCAGAGCCAGCUCUCUCUGAUCAGCUUCUCCGUGUUAGAGGAGUACUGCUCCAGAAUCCACAGCACAGAGUCUAGAAUGUUGGUCUCCCUCCCUUUUUGUUAAUGUUCUUAAACUGGGACAGCAUAGUGGAGGAGGGUUACCGGUACUCACCUUCUGGAUGAUAUUUGACAGACAGGAAGAGAGCAUUGGGACCAUGCGUGCAACAGACAACGUGUAUGUACACAUUCAAAUGAAGCCUGAAUCACUCACGCAUAUUAAACUAAACUGUUAAACCUGUUUUUGAUUGUGUCGGGGGUUGUGAUUGGAUGAGUGAUCCCUACCUUCAGCAGACAGGUCAAGCAUAUAGUAGGGAGUUGUUGCUGCUAUUACCAGCUGUUAAAAAAAUUGCAAUAUGUGGAAGGUACUGUACCUAAUACAGUACUAGUGUCACACCCUGAUUUGUUUCACAUGUCCUUGUUAUUGUUUCCACCCUCUCCAGGUGUCACUUAUUUUCCCCAGUGUAUUUAUCCCUGUGUUUCCUGUCUCUCUAUGCCAGUUUGUCUUGUAUUUUUCCAAGUCAACCAGCAUUUUCCCUGAUCUCCUGCUUUUCGCUAUUGACCCUUUUUCUAGUCCUCCCGGUUUUGACCCUAGCCUGUUUCUGGACUUUGUACCUGCCUGCCUUGACCACGAACUUGCCUGCCACUCAGUACCUCCUGGACUCUGAUCUGGUUUUGACCUUUUGCCUGUCCACAACCAUUCUCU